CUGUCUCUUGGAGUUCCUCUGAGCACUUCAUUCGUGGGGCUACUUCUAUUUUGUGUUGCCCUUAACAUAGAUAGAAUGGUCUUCAUCAGCGAGGUGAAGUGUUUGGGGGAACUUUUGGGUACAG
Molecule: microRNA precursor, 124 nt
Filed under: Phaseolus vulgaris (common bean)
Lineage: Eukaryota; Viridiplantae; Streptophyta; Magnoliopsida; Fabales; Fabaceae
Description: pre miRNA mir-395
Source: RNAcentral